GCUGGGCAUGGUUGUGCAUGCCUGUGGUCCCAGCUACCUGGGAGGCUGAGGUAGGAGGAUCGCUAGAGCCCAGGAAGUUGAUGCUGCGGUGAGCCAUUGAGUGUUUACCACUGCACUCCAACCUGGGUGACAAAGCGAGAUCCUGUCUCAA
This 151-nucleotide non-coding RNA is filed under the name Gorilla gorilla gorilla (western lowland gorilla). Lineage: Eukaryota; Metazoa; Chordata; Mammalia; Primates; Hominidae. The record is from Rfam by way of RNAcentral.